UAGCAUAGUACUUAAGAGGCUUGGGCAAGA
RNAcentral lists this non-coding RNA (30 nucleotides) under Mus musculus (house mouse). Lineage: Eukaryota; Metazoa; Chordata; Mammalia; Rodentia; Muridae. The record is from RNAcentral.